CAAUUAAAGUAAAUACAAUUUAUUUUUGAUUUACAGAUUUCACAGGGAAAGGUGCUUCAAAAAUUAAGUGUGUAACAGUGAAGUAACUGAUAAAAGUGGCAGACUGAACCCCUGGGAGAGCCACAGUGUGAAGAUAAACUCGGGCAGCAGAAAAACCACUGGCUGCAAAGACUGAUAAUGACACAGACAUGGCAAGAACAGCAGCAGGGCAUGUGCGUAUGUGCUGCGGUUUCCACUUGACUCUCUGCAGACUUUAUGAAGGUAUGACUGAUCCACUCUGGGUUGGGUCAGUGAGGAGAUUCAUUAAACCUUCUCCCAGUUCUGAGGCCCCU
RNAcentral lists this long non-coding RNA (332 nucleotides) under Fukomys damarensis (Damara mole-rat). Its description in RNAcentral is "lncRNA (ENSFDAG00000025084.1)". The record is from RNAcentral. Lineage: Eukaryota; Metazoa; Chordata; Mammalia; Rodentia; Bathyergidae.